This 253-nucleotide ribosomal RNA is filed under the name uncultured bacterium. RNAcentral's name for it is "partial 16S ribosomal RNA". It matches the Rfam family "Bacterial small subunit ribosomal RNA", at positions 524 to 776 of the family's 1533-position model. The record is from RNAcentral.
UACGAAGGGGGCUAGCGUUGCUCGGAAUCACUGGGCGUAAAGGGUGCGUAGGCGGGUCUUUAAGUCAGGGGUGAAAUCCUGGAGCUCAACUCCAGAACUGCCUUUGAUACUGAAGAUCUUGAGUACGGGAGAGGUGAGUGGAACUGCGAGUGUAGAGGUGAAAUUCGUAGAUAUUCGCAAGAACACCAGUGGCGAAGGCGGCUCACUGGCCCGUAACUGACGCUGAGGCACGAAAGCGUGGGGAGCAAACAGG